CCCAUAGAUUCUAUUUUAUCAGGUAGUAGGAUAUAUUAUUAUCUCUAUCAUCAAUAUCAUUAAAAUUUUUUUCAAUGGAUUAAAAUAAUUUCAACUUAUCCAAUAAGAAUUAUUGACCAUCAAAAUAAUUUUGAUAAGUCCUACAAUCUGUCAGUGAUGUCUAGCAGCAUGUAGUGACAUUUUAAUAGAAUGGAAUGGAUGAACCUCUAGGUGCGAUUAUCACA
Molecule: long non-coding RNA, 224 nt
Filed under: Elaeis guineensis (African oil palm)
Lineage: Eukaryota; Viridiplantae; Streptophyta; Magnoliopsida; Arecales; Arecaceae
Description: long non-coding RNA (EGUI_LNC045944)
Source: RNAcentral